This 253-nucleotide ribosomal RNA is filed under the name uncultured bacterium. Its description in RNAcentral is "partial 16S ribosomal RNA". It matches the Rfam family "Bacterial small subunit ribosomal RNA", at positions 524 to 776 of the family's 1533-position model. The record is from RNAcentral.
UACGAAGGGGGCUAGCGUUGCUCGGAAUCACUGGGCGUAAAGGGCGCGUAGGCGGAUCUUUAAGUCGGGGGUGAAAGCCUGUGGCUCAACCACAGAAUUGCCUUCGAUACUGAAGAUCUCGAGACCGAAAGAGGUAAGUGGAACUGCGAGUGUAGAGGUGAAAUUCGUAGAUAUUCGCAAGAACACCAGUGGCGAAGGCGGCUUACUGGUCCGGUUCUGACGCUGAGGCGCGAAAGCGUGGGUAGCAAACAGG